GCAAACUUGGUCAUUUAGAGGAAGUAAAAGUCGUAACAAGGUUUCCGUAGGUGAACCUGCGGAAGGAUCAUUAUUGAAAAUAACUAUGGUGGGUUGUAGCUGGCUUCUUGAAGCAUGUGCACACCUGCUGUCUUUAUCUAUCCCAUUGUGCACCAUGUGUAGUUCUGGAAGGGGAAAAAUCACUCUAGCUCUUAAGGGGUUUUUGAGAUUAGGCCUACUUCCAGGUCUAUGUCUUUUCCAUAUACGCUGUAGUAUGUCAAAGAAUGUAGUCAAUGGGCCUUUGUGCCUAUAAAACUCUAUACAACUUUCAGCAACGGAUCUCUUGGCUCUCGCAUCGAUGAAGAACGCAGC
This 351-nucleotide unclassified non-coding RNA is filed under the name uncultured fungus. Its description in RNAcentral is "partial contains small subunit ribosomal RNA, internal transcribed spacer 1, and 5.8S ribosomal RNA". The stretch from base 1 to 73 matches the Rfam family "Eukaryotic small subunit ribosomal RNA", at positions 1759 to 1831 of the family's 1831-position model. The record is from RNAcentral. Lineage: Eukaryota; Fungi.